Molecule: ribosomal RNA, 254 nt
Filed under: uncultured bacterium
Lineage: Bacteria
Description: partial 16S ribosomal RNA
Rfam family: Bacterial small subunit ribosomal RNA
Source: RNAcentral
UACGGAGGGUGCAAACGUUGCUCGGAAUCACUGGGCGUAAAGCGCACGUAGGCGGUCCGAUAAGUCGGAUGUGAAAGCCCUGGGCUCAACCUAGGAAGUGCAUUCGAAACUGUCGGACUUGAGUACGGGAGAGGGUUGCGGAAUUCCCGGUGUAGAGGUGAAAUGCGUAGAUAUCGGGAGGAACACCAGUGGCGAAGGCGACUACCUGGCCUGUUUCUUGACGCUGAGGCGCGAAAGCUAGGGGAGCAAACGGG